GACGAACGCUGGCGGCGUGCUUAACACAUGCAAGUCGAACGGAAAGGCCCUGCUUUUGUGGGGUGCUCGAGUGGCGAACGGGUGAGUAACACGUGAGUAACCUGCUCUUGACUUUGGGAUAACUUCAGGAAACUGGGGCUAAUACCGGAUAGGAGCUCCUGCUGCAUGGUGGGGGUUGGAAAGUUUCGGCGGUUGGGGAUGGACUCGCGGCUUAUCAGCUUGUUGGUGGGGUAGUGGCUUACCAAGGCUUUGACGGGUAGCCGGCCUGAGAGGGUGACCGGCCACAUUGGGACUGAGAUACGGCCCAGACUCCUACGGGAGGCAGCAGUGGGGAAUAUUGCACAAUGGGCGGAAGCCUGAUGCAGCAACGCCGCGUGCGGGAUGACGGCCUUCGGGUUGUAAACCGCUUUCGCCUGUGACGAAGCGUGAGUGACGGUAAUGGGUAAAGAAGCACCGGCUAACUACGUG
RNAcentral lists this ribosomal RNA (468 nucleotides) under uncultured bacterium. RNAcentral describes it as "partial 16S ribosomal RNA". It matches the Rfam family "Bacterial small subunit ribosomal RNA", at positions 28 to 507 of the family's 1533-position model. The record is from RNAcentral.